CCCUUAGAUGUUCUGGGCCGCACGCGCGCUACACUGACGAAUGCAACGAGCUUAUAACCUUGGCCGAAGGGUCUGGGUAAUCUCCAAAUUUCGUCGUGAUGGGGAUAGAUUAUUGCAAUUAUUAAUCUUCAACGAGGAAUGCCUAGUAAGCGCAAGUCAUCAGCUUGCGUUGAUUACGUCCCUGCCCUUUGUACACACCGCCCGUCGCUACUACCGAUUGAAUGAUUUAGUGAGGACUUCGGACUGGGACCGAUGCGGCUUUCGGGCUGCGUCGGUAUUCUGGAAAGAUGUCCAAACUGUAUCAUUUAGAGGAAGUAAAAGUCGUAACA
This 329-nucleotide ribosomal RNA is filed under the name uncultured eukaryote. Its description in RNAcentral is "partial 18S ribosomal RNA". It matches the Rfam family "Eukaryotic small subunit ribosomal RNA", at positions 1470 to 1796 of the family's 1831-position model. The record is from RNAcentral.